This 253-nucleotide ribosomal RNA is filed under the name uncultured bacterium. Its description in RNAcentral is "partial 16S ribosomal RNA". It matches the Rfam family "Bacterial small subunit ribosomal RNA", at positions 524 to 776 of the family's 1533-position model. The record is from RNAcentral.
UACGUAGGGGGCAAGCGUUGUCCGGAAUCAUUGGGCGUAAAGAGCGUGUAGGCGGCUUGGUAAGUCCGCUGUGAAAGUCCAGGGCUCAACCCUGGAAAGCCGGUGGAAACUGUCAAGCUUGAGUCCGGAAGAGGCGAGUGGAAUUCCUGGUGUAGCGGUGAAAUGCGCAGAUAUCAGGAGGAACACCAAUGGCGAAGGCAGCUCGCUGGGACGGUACUGACGCUGAGGCGCGAAAGCGUGGGGAGCAAACAGG